Molecule: ribosomal RNA, 378 nt
Filed under: uncultured eukaryote
Lineage: Eukaryota
Description: partial 18S ribosomal RNA
Rfam family: Eukaryotic small subunit ribosomal RNA
Source: RNAcentral
UAAUAGUGUAUAUUAAAGUUGUUGCAGUUAAAAAGCUCGUAGUUGGAUUUCGGGUGGGACGCAGCGGUCUCGCAUUGCGUUUGUACUGCUGCAGCCCUCCUUCUUGCCGGGGGCGGCCUCUCGGACUUCACUGUCUGGGGGUCAGAAUCGGCGAUGUUACUUUGAGUAAAUUAGAGUGUUCAAAGCAAGCUUACGCUCUGAAUAUAAUAGCAUGGGAUAACACGACAGGACUCUGGCCUAUCGUGUUGGUCUAUAGGACCAGAGUAAUGAUUAAGAGGGACAGUCGGGGGCAUUCGUAUUCCGUUGUCAGAGGUGAAAUUCUUGGAUUUACGGAAGACGAACAUCUGCGAAAGCAUUUGCCAAGGAUGUUUUCAUUGA